AUACGGAGGGUGCAAGCGUUAAUCGGAAUUACUGGGCGUAAAGCGUACGUAGGCGGUCCGUUAAGUUAGAUGUGAAAGCCCCGGGCUUAACCUGGGAACUGCAUUUAAAACUGGCGAACUAGAGUUGAGUAGAGGGGAGUGGAAUUUCAGGUGUAGCGGUGAAAUGCGUAGAGAUCUGAAGGAACACCAGUGGCGAAGGCGACUCCCUGGACUCGAACUGACGCUGAGGUACGAAAGCGUGGGUAGCAAACGGGAGUAGAUACCCUAGUAGUCC
Molecule: ribosomal RNA, 274 nt
Filed under: uncultured bacterium
Lineage: Bacteria
Description: partial 16S ribosomal RNA
Rfam family: Bacterial small subunit ribosomal RNA
Source: RNAcentral